Molecule: ribosomal RNA, 688 nt
Filed under: uncultured bacterium
Lineage: Bacteria
Description: bacterial SSU rRNA
Rfam family: Bacterial small subunit ribosomal RNA
Source: RNAcentral
GUCGAACGGAUCUGUAUUGAAACCUAGUGGUAUACAGGUUAGUGGCGGACGGGUGAGUAACGCGUGGAUAACCUGCCGUAUACCGGGGGAUAACACUUAGAAAUAGGUGCUAAUACCGCAUGAGCGCACAGCUCCGCAUGGAGCAGUGUGAAAAACUCCGGUGGUAUACGAUGGAUCCGCGUCUGAUUAGCCAGUUGGCGGGGUAACGGCCCACCAAAGCGACGAUCAGUAGCCGGCCUGAGAGGGUGAACGGCCACAUUGGGACUGAGACACGGCCCAGACUCCUACGGGAGGCAGCAGUGGGGAAUAUUGCACAAUGGGGGAAACCCUGAUGCAGCGACGCCGCGUGAGUGAAGAAGUAUCUCGGUAUGUAAAGCUCUAUCAGCAGGAAAGAUAAUGACGGUACCUGACUAAGAAGCCCCGGCUAACUACGUGCCAGCAGCCGCGGUAAUACGUAGGGGGCAAGCGUUAUCCGGAUUUACUGGGUGUAAAGGGAGCGUAGACGGCAGCGCAAGUCUGGAGUGAAAUGCCGGGGCCCAACCCCGAAACUGCUUUGGAAACUGUGCGGCUCGAGUGCGGGAGAGGUAGGCGGAAUUCCUAGUGUAGCGGUGAAAUGCGUAGAUAUUAGGAGGAACACCAGUGGCGAAGGCGGCUUACUGGACCGUAACUGACGUUGAGGCUCGAAAGC